Molecule: ribosomal RNA, 195 nt
Filed under: uncultured bacterium
Lineage: Bacteria
Description: partial 16S ribosomal RNA
Source: RNAcentral
GAUAGUUAGAAGCACCAAUAGGACGAAGGGGCUCCUGGGGCAGUACUACGACUCUGUGACGAAAGAGUGGGGGCGAACACAAUUAGAUACACCCCUAGACCCCCCCCUAAAUCAAAUCAAAAAGUUAUUUGGUGAGGAUACUCUUUGAGUAACGCAGCUAACGCGUGAAGUGUCCGCCUGGGAUUACGGACUGCC